RNAcentral lists this ribosomal RNA (2909 nucleotides) under Bacillus cereus H3081.97. RNAcentral's name for it is "bacterial LSU rRNA". It matches the Rfam family "Bacterial large subunit ribosomal RNA". Lineage: Bacteria; Bacillati; Bacillota; Bacilli; Caryophanales; Bacillaceae. The record is from RNAcentral.
GGGCGCACGGUGGAUGCCUUGACACUAGGAGUCGAUGAAGGACGGGACUAACGCCGAUAUGCUUCGGGGAGCUGUAAGUAAGCUUUGAUCCGAAGAUUUCCGAAUGGGGAAACCCACCAUACGUAAUGGUAUGGUAUCCUUAUCUGAAUACAUAGGGUAAGGAAGACAGACCCAGGGAACUGAAACAUCUAAGUACCUGGAGGAAGAGAAAGCAAAUGCGAUUUCAUGAGUAGCGGCGAGCGAAACGGAACAUAGCCCAAACCAAGAGGCUUGCCUCUUGGGGUUGUAGGACAUUCUAUACGGAGUUACAAAGGAACGAGGUAGACGAAGCGACCUGGAAAGGUCCGUCGUAGAGGGUAACAACCCCGUAGUCGAAACUUCGUUCUCUCUUGAAUGUAUCCUGAGUACGGCGGAACACGUGAAAUUCCGUCGGAAUCUGGGAGGACCAUCUCCCAAGGCUAAAUACUCCCUAGUGAUCGAUAGUGAACCAGUACCGUGAGGGAAAGGUGAAAAGCACCCCGGAAGGGGAGUGAAAGAGAUCCUGAAACCGUGUGCCUACAAAUAGUCAGAGCCCGUUAACGGGUGAUGGCGUGCCUUUUGUAGAAUGAACCGGCGAGUUACGAUCCCGUGCGAGGUUAAGCUGAAGAGGCGGAGCCGCAGCGAAAGCGAGUCUGAAUAGGGCGUUUAGUACGUGGUCGUAGACCCGAAACCAGGUGAUCUACCCAUGUCCAGGGUGAAGUUCAGGUAACACUGAAUGGAGGCCCGAACCCACGCACGUUGAAAAGUGCGGGGAUGAGGUGUGGGUAGCGGAGAAAUUCCAAUCGAACCUGGAGAUAGCUGGUUCUCCCCGAAAUAGCUUUAGGGCUAGCCUUAAGUGUAAGAGUCUUGGAGGUAGAGCACUGAUUGGACUAGGGGUCCUCAUCGGAUUACCGAAUUCAGUCAAACUCCGAAUGCCAAUGACUUAUCCUUAGGAGUCAGACUGCGAGUGAUAAGAUCCGUAGUCAAAAGGGAAACAGCCCAGACCGCCAGCUAAGGUCCCAAAGUGUGUAUUAAGUGGAAAAGGAUGUGGAGUUGCUUAGACAACUAGGAUGUUGGCUUAGAAGCAGCCACCAUUUAAAGAGUGCGUAAUAGCUCACUAGUCGAGUGACUCUGCGCCGAAAAUGUACCGGGGCUAAAUACACCACCGAAGCUGCGGAUUGAUACCGAAUGGUAUCAGUGGUAGGGGAGCGUUCUAAGGACAGUGAAGUCAGACCGGAAGGACUGGUGGAGUGCUUAGAAGUGAGAAUGCCGGUAUGAGUAGCGAAAGACGGGUGAGAAUCCCGUCCACCGAAUGCCUAAGGUUUCCUGAGGAAGGCUCGUCCGCUCAGGGUUAGUCAGGACCUAAGCCGAGGCCGACAGGCGUAGGCGAUGGACAACAGGUUGAUAUUCCUGUACCACCUCUUUAUCGUUUGAGCAAUGGAGGGACGCAGAAGGAUAGAAGAAGCGUGCGAUUGGUUGUGCACGUCCAAGCAGUUAGGCUGAUAAGUAGGCAAAUCCGCUUAUCGUAAAGGCUGAGCUGUGAUGGGGAAGCUCCUUAUGGAGCGAAGUCUUUGAUUCCCCGCUGCCAAGAAAAGCUUCUAGCGAGAUAAAAGGUGCCUGUACCGCAAACCGACACAGGUAGGCGAGGAGAGAAUCCUAAGGUGUGCGAGAGAACUCUGGUUAAGGAACUCGGCAAAAUGACCCCGUAACUUCGGGAGAAGGGGUGCUUUCUUAACGGAAAGCCGCAGUGAAUAGGCCCAAGCGACUGUUUAGCAAAAACACAGCUCUCUGCGAAGCCGUAAGGCGAAGUAUAGGGGGUGACACCUGCCCGGUGCUGGAAGGUUAAGGAGAGGGGUUAGCGUAAGCGAAGCUCUGAACUGAAGCCCCAGUAAACGGCGGCCGUAACUAUAACGGUCCUAAGGUAGCGAAAUUCCUUGUCGGGUAAGUUCCGACCCGCACGAAAGGUGUAACGAUUUGGGCACUGUCUCAACCAGAGACUCGGUGAAAUUAUAGUACCUGUGAAGAUGCAGGUUACCCGCGACAGGACGGAAAGACCCCGUGGAGCUUUACUGUAGCCUGAUAUUGAAUUUUGGUACAGUUUGUACAGGAUAGGCGGGAGCCUUUGAAACCGGAGCGCUAGCUUCGGUGGAGGCGCUGGUGGGAUACCGCCCUGACUGUAUUGAAAUUCUAACCUACGGGUCUUAUCGACCCGGGAGACAGUGUCAGGUGGGCAGUUUGACUGGGGCGGUCGCCUCCUAAAGUGUAACGGAGGCGCCCAAAGGUUCCCUCAGAAUGGUUGGAAAUCAUUCGUAGAGUGCAAAGGCAUAAGGGAGCUUGACUGCGAGACCUACAAGUCGAGCAGGGACGAAAGUCGGGCUUAGUGAUCCGGUGGUUCCGCAUGGAAGGGCCAUCGCUCAACGGAUAAAAGCUACCCCGGGGAUAACAGGCUUAUCUCCCCCAAGAGUCCACAUCGACGGGGAGGUUUGGCACCUCGAUGUCGGCUCAUCGCAUCCUGGGGCUGUAGUCGGUCCCAAGGGUUGGGCUGUUCGCCCAUUAAAGCGGUACGCGAGCUGGGUUCAGAACGUCGUGAGACAGUUCGGUCCCUAUCCGUCGUGGGCGUAGGAAAUUUGAGAGGAGCUGUCCUUAGUACGAGAGGACCGGGAUGGACGCACCGCUGGUGUACCAGUUGUUCUGCCAAGGGCAUAGCUGGGUAGCUAUGUGCGGAAGGGAUAAGUGCUGAAAGCAUCUAAGCAUGAAGCCCCCCUCAAGAUGAGAUUUCCCAUAGCGUAAGCUAGUAAGAUCCCUGAAAGAUGAUCAGGUUGAUAGGUUCGAGGUGGAAGCAUGGUGACAUGUGGAGCUGACGAAUACUAAUAGAUCGAGGACUUAACCAU